RNAcentral lists this long non-coding RNA (538 nucleotides) under Cricetulus griseus (Chinese hamster). RNAcentral's name for it is "lncRNA (ENSCGRG00015030137.1)". The record is from RNAcentral. Lineage: Eukaryota; Metazoa; Chordata; Mammalia; Rodentia; Cricetidae.
GCUGGAGGUCAAAGAAGGGGUGCGUGGGAAUGUGUCGGGAACAUGUGGAGACAGAAGAAGGGGCACACAGGGAGCAGGCCCGUUUGGAUGAGGGUAGGAGUGGGUGAGGGGCUAGAGCUGGAGAACUGUGGUGCACCCGGGCAUGUUCGGACGUGGGAGGACAGAAGACUGGCUGCAUCCCAGCUUUCCGCCUCCUCUUUUCCGAGAAGUGACAGUGACUGCCUGCUGGCAGCCUCUCAAGAGAACCAGUGACAGGAGAAGAAGAAAGGCCACUUGUGGCUGGGUCUCUGUCCUGAGCACUAAAGAAUUAAAAGGCAAAAAUCUGAAUCGCAACAGGCAGCAGCAGAAAAAUCUCAACCACUGUGGAAGAGUCAUCAGUUGAAAGAAGGCACUUGUUGGGGUGAAUAAACAUUGACAUGGAAUAAGGCACAAAGAUAAAAGACCCUCCUCAAAGUGGGGUGUGGAGGGGAGGCGGGGGAGACCAGUGCCUUCUGGAGUGCAGGGGGUUUAAAGCCCUUGAAGAGUUCACUUCCCUACC